This 485-nucleotide ribosomal RNA is filed under the name uncultured bacterium. Its description in RNAcentral is "bacterial SSU rRNA". It matches the Rfam family "Bacterial small subunit ribosomal RNA", at positions 28 to 476 of the family's 1533-position model. The record is from RNAcentral.
GACGAACGCUGGCGGCGUGCCUAAUACAUGCAAGUCGAACGGACCUUGCUUGGACGGAGUGGAGUACUUGUACAAAGCGAAGACUGAGCGCUGGUUAGUGACGAACGGGUGAGUAACACGUAGGUAACCAACCGAUAAGACGAGGACAACUCAUGGAAACGCGAGCCAAUACUGGAUGUGGUAUAGAGAAGGCAUCUUUUCUAUAUUAAAGGAGCUUUUGGCUUCACUUAUUGAUGGACCUGCGGCGUAUUAGCUAGUUGGUAGGGUAGAAGCCUACCAAGGCGAUGAUACGUAGCCGAUCUGAGAGGAUAAACGGCCACACUGGGACUGAGAUACGGCCCAGACUCCUACGGGAGGCAGCAGUAGGGAAUUUUCCACAAUGGACGAAAGUCUGAUGGAGCAACGCCGCGUGUGUGAAGAAGGUUUUCGGAUUGUAAAGCACUGUUGUAUGGGAAGAAUAAGGUAAUGAGGAAAUGAAUUACUGG